Molecule: ribosomal RNA, 445 nt
Filed under: uncultured bacterium
Lineage: Bacteria
Description: bacterial SSU rRNA
Rfam family: Bacterial small subunit ribosomal RNA
Source: RNAcentral
UCCAGACUCCUACGGGAGGCAGCAGUGGGGAAUAUUGCACAAUGGGGGAAACCCUGAUGCAGCGACGCCGCGUGAGCGAUGAAGUAUUUCGGUAUGUAAAGCUCUAUCAGCAGGGAAGAAAAUGACGGUACCUGACUAAGAAGCCCCGGCUAACUACGUGCCAGCAGCCGCGGUAAUACGUAGGUGGCAAGCGUUAUCCGGAUUUACUGGGUGUAAAGGGCGAGUAGGCGGGAUUGCAAGUCAGAUGCGAAAACUAUGGGCUCAACCGAUAGAGUGCAUUUGAAACUGCAGUUCUUGAGUGAUGGAGAGGCAGGCGGAAUUCCUAGUGUAGCGGUGAAAUGCGUAGAUAUUAGGAGGAACACCAGUGGCGAAGGCGGCCUGCUGGACGACAACUGACGGUGAGGCGCGAAAGCGUGGGGAGCAAACAGGAUUAGAUACCCGCGUA